Molecule: ribosomal RNA, 255 nt
Filed under: uncultured bacterium
Lineage: Bacteria
Description: partial 16S ribosomal RNA
Rfam family: Bacterial small subunit ribosomal RNA
Source: RNAcentral
GACGAACCGUGCGAACGUUAUUCGGAAUCACUGGGCUUAAAGGGAGCGUAGGCGGGCUAUCAAGUCUGGGGUGAAAUCCCACGGCUCAACCGUGGAACUGCCUCAGAUACUGAUGGCCUCGAGGGAGAUAGGGGCAUGCGGAACUGUAGGUGGAGCGGGUGAAAUGCGUUGAGUAUCUACAGGAACUCCGGUGGCGAAAGCGGCGUGCUGGAUCUCUUCUGACGCUGAGGCUCGAAAGCUAGGGGAGCAAACGGG